CGUCUGCAUAAAUUCUGAGGGCGGAGUCACCCAGAGGACCAAUGAGAAAGUGCGUAGGAGCGCCUGUGGCGUCAUGCGUAGAACCCAAGGAAAGAGCGGGAAAGUUCCUGUGAGGAGCUGUAGAGAAAGCAGACGCCAGCGGAACCUGGUGCUGAGCUUACAGAGCCCAGGGACCUGUGGCUCUUGGUCCGGCUCUGCCGUGAAAGCCAGUGGAGCCCUUGCGGGCCCGGUUCCAAAGCCGUGAUGCCUCAGCGGAGACGUAAAAUAAGAACAGCCGCCGGUGGGUCGAAACCAGAGAGAGCGGAGUCCGGCGGAGAGGCAGGUAGGCCCCACCAACCCAAAGAUGAGGAGAAAGUUUGUCCAGUUCAUAAAGGUGGACAGAGGGGUCGCCGAAGUGAGGGAGAACCGAGAGGGGCUCGAGCUGAGGGAGCAGAAAGGCCCUUGCGAGCCAGAGGGGAGAAACGAGAACGACCUAUCCGAGGUGAGGCCUCUGUUGAAAGCCAGAGUUCUGCCGGAGCUGAGGGAAGUGAGAGCCCUGUUCAAGCCAAGGGAAGAGAAAAGACUACUAAAGCGGAGGGAGGCGACUGGUCUCUUAGAGGCAAGGGAAAAGAAAGGCCUACUAAAGCUGAAGGAAUGGAGAAGCCUGUUCAGUCCAAGAUAGUAGUAGAGAAGCCUGAUAGAAUUCAGGGAGCAGAGAAACCUGCUCUGGCGGAGAAGCCUGGUCGAGGUGGGAAGGCGGCUCGCGGUGGGAGGCCUGAGACAAGUGGAAAGCCCAGAGAAACCGAGAGGCUUUUGGGGGAUGAGAAACCCACUCAAGUUGAGAAAGCCACUGGGGCCGAGAAAGCCACUGGGGCGGAGAAAACCAUUCGGGCAGAGAAAGGCACUCGGGCGGAGAAAACCCCCCGCGCCGAGAAACCCACCCGCGCCGAGAAAGCCACCAGCCCUGAGAAACCCACUAGUCCUGAGAAAGCCCCCCGCGCCGAGAAAGCCACCCGCGCCGAGAAAGUCCCCCGCGCCGAGAAAGCCACCAGCCCCGAGAAAACCACCAGCCCAGAGAAACCCACCAGCCCUGAGAAACCCACUAGGGCCCAGAAAGCCACUCGGGCCCAGAAAGCCGCUCGGGCUGAGAAAGGCACUCCAACUGAGAAACCGGCUGCGGCCGACAAACCCGCUCGUGCUGAGAAAACCGCUGGGGCCGAGAGACCCACUCGAGCAGAGAAACUCAUUGGGGCCGAGAAGCCCUCCCGACCUGAGAAACCUACCGGGGCCGAGAAGCCCUCCCGACCUGAGAAACCCACUGGUGCCGAGAAACCCACUCGAGGUGAAAAAUCCACUCGGGCUGAGAAACCCACCAAGGUCGGCCAACCCUCUGUGGCCAAGAGGCACUCCAAGGUGAGGGAACUUGUCAGUGAUGAGAGCCUGGAGUUCCAAGAAGAAGAGGGGUUCCCUCCAGCUCAGUUAGAGGAAUCUGAGGAUGAUGAUGAAAGAGAGCCACCAGAAGGGGAGAAUGAGGCAGAUGAAACUGGCUUUGAAGAACAAACUGAACAGUAUAGCUGGGCGAAGACAUCUCAUCUCAUAGUGCUGAUCGUCGUCUUGACAAUUAUCUCCGUUUUGCUGUUUAUCUACUGGAAUUUUCCUGAGCUUAGUGAAGAAGAAAAAGCAAGUCUGAAGUUUCCCAGAAACCUAGAUGAGUUGACAGCCUUAGCAAAACUUUUCGCCAAAUACAAGGACAACUUUUAUGUUUGUAAGAAACAUAAACGCUGAUUGGUUCCCGGGAAGCAGAUGAUGGUGGCGGAGGUUUUCCAGAAUCCGAAACCAUGAAGUAUGCAGUGGAGAAUGAUGAAAUUUCGAGAUGGGGAAGAGGAGUGUUGAAGAAACGUUUAAUAAAAGCAAUGUGCCUGGUGGAAAAAAAUUCGGA
Molecule: long non-coding RNA, 1918 nt
Organism: Monodelphis domestica (gray short-tailed opossum)
Lineage: Eukaryota; Metazoa; Chordata; Mammalia; Didelphimorphia; Didelphidae
Source: Ensembl